UUUGUAAACAACUUUUCAUUCAGAAAUUCUGCUUUAAUUGCAAAAUAAUAAGAGGCCUUUUUUUGUCACAUUUUGAAUCUAUACUAUAUUCAAAAUAAGAACAGACCAGACUGCGAACGAAAACACAUUGUUGUUUGUGCAUCUAUCCCCACUAUGGCUUUAUGACUCGCUGUAUACACGGCGGUGAGAUCGACGAUGGUGCACGAUCGUAAACAAUAAUUGCCAAAUAAUUAACAAAUCCAUCAUCAGGUGGUCUAGCAGCGCUAAGAACUCCGUUGCAAUGCGCGAAGGCAAAGAAGUAAAUUUUUUGAUUUUCCUAGGAGUUCCAAAUCCAACAAAUUCAAGGAGUGAUGCAAAAAUAUCCAACA
Cinara cedri is the source of this 368-nucleotide non-coding RNA. Lineage: Eukaryota; Metazoa; Arthropoda; Insecta; Hemiptera; Aphididae. The record is from the annotation of a GenBank genome assembly.